CGAACGAGAAAUUUUGCCUUCGGGCGAGAGAGUAAAGUGGCGCACGGGUGAGUAACGCGUGGAUAACCUGCCCUUUAAUCUGGAAUAACUUCGCGAAAGCGUUGCUAAUACUGGAUAUUGUCCUUUAAGCAGUAGUCUUUAGGAUAAAAGGUGACCUAUUCUUGAAAGUUGUCGUUAGAGGAGGGGUCCGCGUACCAUUAGCUAGUUGGUGGGGUAAUGGCCUACCAAGGUUACGAUGGUUAGCUGGUCUGAGGGGAUGAUCAGCCACACUGGAACUGAAACACGGUCCAGACUCCUACGGGAGGCAGCAGUGAGGAAUUUUGCGCAAUGGGGGAAACCCUGACGCAGCAACGCCGCGUGAGUGAAGAAGGUUUUCGGAUCGUAAAGCUCUGUCGAGUGGGAAAAAGGUUUAAUAUAAAUAGUAUUAAAAAUUGAUGGUACCACUAGAGGAAGCACCGGCUAACUCCGUGCCAGCAGCCGCGGUAAUACGGGGGGUGCAAGCGUCAUUCGGAAUUACUGGGCGUAAAGAGCGUGUAGGCGGGAUGAUAAGUCAGAUGUGAAAGCCCUGGGCUUAACCCAGGGAGUGCAUUUGAUACUGUCAUUCUUGAGUAUGGGAGAGGAGAGUGGAAUUCCUAGUGUAGAGGUGAAAUUCGUAGAUAUUAGGAGGAACAUCCGUGGCGAAGGCGACUCUCUGGACCAAUACCGACGCUGAGACGCGAAAGCGUGGGGAGCGAACAGGAUUAGAUACCCUGGUAGUCCACGCCGUAAACGAUGAGAACUAGGUGUAGCGGGUAUUGACCCCUGCUGUGCCGCAGUUAACGCAUUAAGUUCUCCGCCUGGGGAGUACGGCCGCAAGGCUAAAACUCAAAGGAAUUGACGGGGACCCGCACAAGCGGUGGAGCAUGUGGUCUAAUUCGACGCAACGCGAAGAACCUUACCUGGAUUUGACAUCCUUUGCUACCCCUGGAAACAGGGUUUUUCCGACUUGUCGGAACAGAGUGACAGGUGCUGCAUGGCUGUCGUCAGCUCGUGUUGUGAGAUGUUGGGUUAAGUCCCGCAACGAGCGCAACCCUUGUUUUUAGUUGCCAUUAUUAAGUUAGGCACUCUAAAGAUACUGCCUCGGUUAACGGGGAGGAAGGUGGGGAUGACGUCAAGUCCUCAUGGCCUUUAUAUCCAGGGCUACACACGUGCUACAAUGGGCUGUACAAAGGGUUGCAACACCGCGAGGUGAAGCUAAUCUCAAAAAGCAGUUCUCAGUUCGGAUUGGAGUCUGCAACUCGACUCCAUGAAGGUGGAAUCGCUAGUAAUCGUGGAUCAGCAUGCCACAGUGAAUACGUUCCCGGGUCUUGUACACACCGCC
RNAcentral lists this ribosomal RNA (1360 nucleotides) under metagenome. RNAcentral's name for it is "bacterial SSU rRNA". It matches the Rfam family "Bacterial small subunit ribosomal RNA", at positions 63 to 1394 of the family's 1533-position model. The record is from RNAcentral.